CUCUGCCUUUUCGAUGCCCUCACGCCUAAGAGUCAACUCCAGCAAUUGGAAUAGCUGGUAAGAACCACAGGGCUGCCACUCUUCUUUGAAGAAGAGUCAUAGCCAGUCCUCAGGAGUGGAGGUGGAAAAGGAGAGAAUUUUACAGAAGUAUUCUCUCCUCACUGAAUCACAAAGGUGACUUUGCUACCUCUACUUUCUAUAAACUCUGAUGAUAGCAGAAUAAUUGAAGAUUCAGCUUCAGACUGGGGCCCUUGAGGAACACUGACUUGGGCAGUCACCUAUGGACAAGACAGUUUUUGUGGAAGUCAGCGCUUCCAGAGGAGAAAUUGCAGCACGCUGUUGAAACAAAUAAACAAAAUAAUUUUGGUCACUUUGGAAUAGGUAAGUGGAAUAGUUUGGUUUUACCCACAUCCCUCAUCCCCUAA
Molecule: long non-coding RNA, 425 nt
Filed under: Canis lupus familiaris (dog)
Lineage: Eukaryota; Metazoa; Chordata; Mammalia; Carnivora; Canidae
Description: lncRNA (ENSCAFG00845014507.1)
Source: RNAcentral